UAUCCAGUGGCUCAGUCAGCAGAGCAUUGUGCUACCAACACAAAGAUUGUGGGUUCGAACCCUAGAUAA
Non-coding RNA from Danionella cerebrum, 69 nucleotides. NCBI's taxonomy places the organism in Eukaryota, Metazoa, Chordata, Actinopteri, Cypriniformes, Danionidae. The record is from the annotation of a GenBank genome assembly.